This is a long non-coding RNA of Zingiber officinale, 683 nucleotides long. RefSeq lists it as uncharacterized. The transcript has 2 exons. The record is from RefSeq and is a predicted model, not a curated record. NCBI's taxonomy places the organism in Eukaryota, Viridiplantae, Streptophyta, Magnoliopsida, Zingiberales, Zingiberaceae.
AAGAGGAGGACAAUCCCAGCAAUUAUUUAUAUUCUUUAUUUAAGACGAUUCUUUUGCCAACACGCCACUUGCCUUUUUUUUUUUUUCCACCUUCGUCUUCUUACCGAUCGCAGGCUCCUCCGCGGCGUCCUCAUCGUCGUCGCCAUCUUCAUCUGAACCACCAGGCGGAAGAGGAGGAGGAGGAAGUAGGAUUCAUCUCCUCGUCGCGGUUGCUGCGAAUUAAGUAGCUUACAAUGGAUUCCAUCACCUCCACAACACCGGUUUCACGGGAACUCGCUCGGGAGUCUCUAAUUGCAAUCUCUCAAACACCACCAGAAAAUAACCUCACCUCUGAUGUGUUGCCUGUAAACUCAACUGAGGUUGGCAUGGCAAAUCAACAAGUCAAUAGUGAGACAGAUAAGUACAGAUCUAAGUUGAUCUCCAUCUCCCAGUGUCAAUCUCCAGACGUUCCACCAUCACCAGCCUCGACUUAGAUGAUGAGUUACUCUAACUUGAGAACAUCUAUAUCCUUGUUUGUACUUAUCCUAUGUUCACUGUGUGUGCUUCCCGUCAUGCUUUGAUGUGAAUUACCGUGAAAAUCUAAUUAUGUGGAGUGACUUUGUUCUAUCCUCCAUUAUUGUUCACCUCAUGGAAAUUUGAUGUGAUUGGCCGUUUGUUAGGAAUUAAUUACAUUUUUCACUGCA